GUGCGGGAUGGAGCAGUCUGGUAGCUCGUCGGGCUCAUAACCCGAAGGUCGUUGGUUCGAAUCCAGCUCCGCUACC
Molecule: transfer RNA, 76 nt
Filed under: Porticoccaceae bacterium
Lineage: Bacteria; Pseudomonadati; Pseudomonadota; Gammaproteobacteria; Cellvibrionales; Porticoccaceae
Description: tRNA-Met
Rfam family: tRNA
About the family: Transfer RNA (tRNA) molecules are approximately 80 nucleotides in length. Their secondary structure includes four short double-helical elements and three loops (D, anti-codon, and T loops).
Source: RNAcentral